UGUGUAGGAUCGGUGGUAGGCUUUGAAGCGAGGGCGCCAGCCUUCGUGGAGCCAUCCUUGAAAUACCACCCUUGUAGAUAUGGUUGUCUAACCGCGGCCCCUGAUCGGGGUCCGGGACAGCGCAUGGCAGGCAGUUUGACUGGGGCGGUCGCCUCCCAAAGAGUAACGGAGGCGUGCGAAGGUAGGCUCAGACCGGUCGGAAAUCGGUCGUUGAGUGCAAUGGCAUAAGCCUGCCUGA
Molecule: ribosomal RNA, 238 nt
Filed under: Halomonas sp. ND22Bw
Lineage: Bacteria; Pseudomonadati; Pseudomonadota; Gammaproteobacteria; Oceanospirillales; Halomonadaceae
Description: partial 23S ribosomal RNA
Rfam family: Bacterial large subunit ribosomal RNA
Source: RNAcentral